UCGUGUCUCGUGCCGGCCCUUUGGGGUUGGUGUGGGGUGUGGGUGUGGAACCUGGGGUCUGUUGGUGGGUGGUGGCUGUUCGGACACACUGUUGGGUCCUGAGGGAUCAGGCUCCGCAUCGUCUCCUGCUGAAUUGGGGGGUGGUGGGGGUUGGUUUCUCUGGUUGUCUCCUCCUUUGUCUGCUCCGCGACCGGUUGGUUGGGGGUGGGGGUUGGUGGGGUUGUUGUUUGAGAUCUGCAUAGUGGACGCGAGCAUUUAAUUCAUGCCCCCGACUUUUUUUGUUGGGGGUGUGGUUGUGCAUGAUUGUUUUGUUGUUCUUGUGGUGUUGUCUUGUGGCGUUGCAUGUUUGUGUUGUUGUGACGUUGUUGA
Molecule: unclassified non-coding RNA, 369 nt
Filed under: Nocardioides sp.
Lineage: Bacteria; Bacillati; Actinomycetota; Actinomycetes; Propionibacteriales; Nocardioidaceae
Description: partial 16S-23S ribosomal RNA intergenic spacer
Source: RNAcentral